Molecule: long non-coding RNA, 210 nt
Filed under: Helianthus annuus (common sunflower)
Lineage: Eukaryota; Viridiplantae; Streptophyta; Magnoliopsida; Asterales; Asteraceae
Description: sRNA HanXRQr2_Chr14g0628091
Source: RNAcentral
UUUUUUCUCCCAUCUCCUUGGAGCUUGUUUCCAGCCUUAUGGAAGUCUCCUACUGAGUUCUAAGACUUCCUAGAACACAAACAAAUGGAGCUAUUGUUUGAUGACAUGAAUGCAUACUUCACAUAGGUUGGACGCGGGCCUUAGUGACUUUAAAACAUGAAAGACAAUUUACUGUAUUUUGUUCCCUGUUUAUCCCAAGACAAUGUAAAC